CUGACUGGCCAAACACGUGACUGUGAUUGGCCCAAAGACCCCUUCUGGGGCUGCAUAGGCAGGGUACUGAAGCUCACUCAGUGGGUCAGCUGGCAGACGUGCUGCCGGGCUACUGCAUCUGGUACUGCGGCAGCAGGGAAGAUGAAGACUGUCUCCGAGUGGCCUUGCCUCCCUUCAGCAGUGCAGGAUGUGCCGGAUGCCUGCAGAAAGAAGCAGCAGUGGAGAAUGACAGAGGCAACAGAAGUGGCUUAGCAGUUAAACAGAAUCGGGUGGUUGAGAAACCAGUUUAACCACAAAGAGCUCAGGAACCUUACACCAAGGCUCUGCCUCACUCGUUCAGGAAACCAACAAGAAAGUCCAGGUUUCUCACCAUCAGAGUUCAUGACAAGUUCAAACGUCACUCACCCCUGCCCAAGUGCAACCAUCCUCUACCAUGGUAAGUACGAAACGAUACCUUUUGUUACUUGGCUGACUAAUUCUGUCACCUGAGAGCCCGCCUUACGCUUGCCGUGGAAGCUCACUACGAAGUAACAAACUUUCCCAGAUCUUCCUGGUAGAUGCCUGUGUGGAGUCCUGAGUCACAGCCAACCUAUGGAUGAGGGUUGUUCCCAUCUCUCUACGUGAGUUUGGAUGUGUCCUCUCUGCCCACUGCCUUGCCGCGUGUCUUCUUGAGUAUGGGCCACUCUUAUCUUAUGAUGUGGAGCAACGACAGAACAUGGUGGCAAGGAUGACUGAGUGGACAGGAGGGAGCAUGGUCCGAUGGUUUCAGUAAGAAUGGCCCCAUAAACUUACACGUUUGGAUGCUUGGAUGAGUUGGUGGGCUGUUUAGGAAAGAUUAGGAGGCUUGACCUUGUGGGAGGAGGUGCAUUACUGGAGGGGGGCUUUGAGGUUUCAAAGAUUUAUCCCAGAUUUCGUCUUUGGUUUCUCCACCUCCAUCUCGUGAAUCAGGUGUGAGCUAACAGCUACUGCUCCGGCUUGCCAGCCUCCUGUCACACUCCCUGCCAUGAUGGCCAUGAAUUGACCAGCCCUCUGACAUUGUAAGCAAGUCCCCAGUUAAAUGUUUUCUUCUGUGAGUUUCUUUGACCAAUGGUGUCUCUCCACAGUGACAGAACAGUAGCUAAGCUACUCUCCCACCCCGACGUCAUAGGUUUUCAUGCUUCUCCAAUCUUCAUCAGCCUUAUUUUGUUCAGCCACUUGAAGGCAAUGAUAGCUUCAGAUGCAGAGUUCAUGGAGGAAGACAACCCACUACCUCCGCAUUGGAAGUCAGUAUUCCUCCUGGGGUGUGAACUGGUCAUGUUCAUAAAGCAUGUGCCAUGCAUGAUGCAGGCUUUAGCAGAGGCCCUGCUGUGAAGACAAUCAUUGAAUAUUUUUGGUGCUAUUUUAGAGUAGACUGUCUGCUUAAACUAACAGAACAUCCUUGAUUUUGUAUCUGGAUAAAAUGUUCUUAAAAUCAGCAAAUUAUUCAGUUGUCACUAUAAUGAAUCAUCUGAAAUAAUAACUCGUAAAGGAGAGAGGCUUUGGUCUGGCUCACAGUUUUGAGACUUCUACUCUAACCAUUGGAUUGGGCUCCUGGGGUGGAGUGGGUAAACCCGGAUGUGAGGUGAUUAGGGUGGGGACAGGAUGUUCUCACCUGGAUGUUGAAAGUCAUCCAGGGAUCCAUGUGUUAAAGCCUUGAUCGCAGUCCCCUAUGGCAGUGCUCCUGAGAAGUGGAGCACUUACAAGGCAGAGCCUAGUGGGACCUCUGAGUAAGGGCAUGCCCUUCACAGUGAUAGUUGCUUCCUGCUUCUUUUUUAUCUUGCUGCUUCCUGGCUGAGAGGCAGGUGUUUUCGCUUGCUUGGUGAGGUCUCUUGUCAGGAUGUGGUCUGAGCAGGGAGAAAGUGAUCCAGCAACAUACCCAACUGGCCUGGCAGGUAUUGCAGGCAGGUGUGCAGCUGAUCCACAAGUUACAAAACACUUCUCACCAGCUUUGUGCUCGCCUCAUUCUUAGGCCUGUUUGACUUAAGAUGUUAGGCAAAUUUUAAAACUGAGAAAAAAAAAGGUGAAAAGAAUCCCUUGGUCUUUGACUUCUCCAUGAAGAAGAAAAUCUAUUAAUAUAAACACACACAUUUUGAGCAGGUCAUGUGGACCUGAAGGAACUCCCUGAUGACGCCAGCAGGAGCAGUCUAUGGUUCCUGGGAACCCUAAGAAAACGCAGACUUGAAGAAGCGGAGGUGGUUUCAGAGCAUCAGGGCUCCGUCCAAACAAGAAUCCCACUGGAAACUGUCUUUAAGGGCUUAAUGGGUCCUUUGGCCUCAGCUCAGGCCUCAGUUGCGACAUCAGUUAAUUACAUUGUUGCAUUUCCCUUGAAAGGGGUGUCUUUGGAGUAUUUCCCUCUGAUUGGCCAGAACCCUAAGCUACUGUAACUAAUUAUUAUAAAUAUGUUUAUUCAGGGCAUGAUCAAGGUGCUCUCCUCUCUUUCUCUCACUUUUAAAAAUUCUGUCUGAUCUAAAUGUGUGGAGAUGUUUCCUGUUACUAUUGCAUAAACAAUACAAAAUAAUUGCCAUUUAUAUAUUAGUUGUAUUGUACUGAGUAUUAUCUGUAAUUCAGGAAUGAUUAAUAUAAAAGACCUGAGUGUCUUGGCAUGCUGUAGGAUAAUGGUCCUGUACCCUGUAAAGAUUUGUUUCUUGUACUUGUUUAAUAAAAUGCUGAUUGGCCCGUAGCCAGGCAGGAAGUAUAGGCA
This is a non-coding RNA of Myodes glareolus (Bank vole), 2719 nucleotides long. Lineage: Eukaryota; Metazoa; Chordata; Mammalia; Rodentia; Cricetidae. The record is from RefSeq and is a predicted model, not a curated record.